AGAGUUUGAUCAUGGCUCAGGAUGAACGCUGGCGGCGUGCUUAACACAUGCAAGUCGAACGAUUGAAGCUGGAGCUUGCUCCGGCCGAUUUAGUGGCGGACGGGUGAGUAACGCGUGGGUAACCUGCCUCAUACAGGGGGAUAGCAGUUGGAAACGACUGGUAAAACCGCAUAAGCGCACGGUAUCGCAUGAUACAGUGUGAAAACACUCCGGUGGUAUGAGAUGGACCCGCGUCUGAUUAG
RNAcentral lists this ribosomal RNA (242 nucleotides) under uncultured bacterium. RNAcentral describes it as "partial 16S ribosomal RNA". It matches the Rfam family "Bacterial small subunit ribosomal RNA", at positions 8 to 244 of the family's 1533-position model. The record is from RNAcentral.